RNAcentral lists this ribosomal RNA (429 nucleotides) under Chloroflexota bacterium. RNAcentral's name for it is "Chloroflexi bacterium partial 16S ribosomal RNA". It matches the Rfam family "Bacterial small subunit ribosomal RNA", at positions 355 to 776 of the family's 1533-position model. The record is from RNAcentral. Lineage: Bacteria; Bacillati; Chloroflexota.
UGGGGAAUAUUGCACAAUCGGCGCAAGCCUGAUGCAGCCAUGCCGCGUGUAUGAAGAAGGCCUUCGGGUUGUAAAGUACUUUCAGUCGGGAGGAAGGUGUCAAGGUUAAUAACCUUGGCAAUUGACGUUACCGACAGAAGAAGCACCGGCUAACUCCGUGCCAGCAGCCGCGGUAAUACGGAGGGUGCAAGCGUUAAUCGGAAUUACUGGGCGUAAAGCGCACGCAGGCGGUUGAUUGAGUCAGAUGUGAAAUCCCCGGGCUUAACCCGGGAAUUGCAUCUGAGACUGGUCAGCUAGAGUCUGGUAGAGGGGGGUAGAAUUCCAUGUGUAGCGGUGAAAUGCGUAGGGAUGUGGGGGAAUACCGGUGGCGGAGGCGGCCCCCUGGACAAAGACUGACGCUCAGGUGCGAAAGCGUGGGGAGCAAACAGG